RNAcentral lists this long non-coding RNA (11921 nucleotides) under Elaeis guineensis (African oil palm). Its description in RNAcentral is "long non-coding RNA (EGUI_LNC025382)". The record is from RNAcentral. Lineage: Eukaryota; Viridiplantae; Streptophyta; Magnoliopsida; Arecales; Arecaceae.
UCCAAAUUUGAUUGGUGGAACUCCAGUUCACAUGCAAAAAUAAAAACAGAAUAUCUCUGACGUUUAAAAUAUCAUUAUUUAUCUUCCUACAUUUAGCAUAAAAAGAAGCUCAAAACCCUGAAAAUAAUUCACAUUAAUUGAAAUAAGAUAACAUCUUGAACAGUAAAUAUUUAAAUUAUGCAAAACUGUUUGCAAUAUUUGGUAUUCAGCAUUAGCCUCCUGUAUCAAGCGCUCAUGACCUGGGCAAGUAACAUUAGGGAUGCAAGCCCUGUAUCUCUCAUUUAUCUGUGAUUUUACCAGACAUAUCUGGAAGAGCAUGGAAGCAGUUCAAGUGGAACGAGAAUUCUCAAAGAGCUUUCUGCAUGCUUUUUUUCCCCCUUCCGAAGUGGGGAGAAAGAUGCCAAUCUUGUCCGCAUAGCAGGAUGGCCUUACAACCUUUUGACAUUUAUUAUACAUAUAAUUCUUCAUACCACUCCAAUCUGGCCAAUUUCCUGCUCUUAUUCCAGAACUUGUGAUCAGUCCAUUUUUUGCGGUUGGUUGCCAUUUUACCGCUUUUGCUCAUUAGCCAAACAAACGAAAAGGAAAUUUAACUUUUUCGCUCCACAACCACAUGGAUUCAAACCACUUUAAUUUGAUUGGCUACCAAAAUUGACAACCCAGUUACAUCCAACUAGCAGCUUCUGAGGAGCCCAAAGACGAGAGUUUUUGGGAAAUAGAGAUGAUUCCCAAGCAUAUCUGUAGUGAUAACCAAAUGAUUGAAAGAGUAAGGGGAACAAAUAACUCGUGAAACCACAAACCAGGUGAACAAAUAACUAGUGAAACUAUAUAGGGGGAGCACAAAGCAAAGCACAGAGCACCCGGAACAGCUAUACCAAAAGAAGAAAUCAAACCAGCAGGGCUAGGUAUGAACCGCACUACCUUGCACUCACACCACAUCCUCCACAAAAUUCUAGGUUCUUCACCAUCGUGGUCCCUGUCUGAAGAGAAUGACGAAAUAAAUAGCCAGGACUUCCAAGGAGGUUAUUUCAUGCACAAAGAAGAGAUCAAACACAUGUCCACACACACAUUCAUGUCUAGGAUGUACAAUAAGAAAAAUCAACAGAAUCCAUCAUAAAAUCAACAAAUUUCAGCAAUUAAAGCAUAAAAUAUAUUUAGUUUCUAGCACUAGACGGUAAAUCCUAAUGCUAUGUCUAUAAUACUUACAAUCAAGAAAAACUGUAAGUUAUCUUAAUCAACAAAAUCAAAUGAAACAAUCUUAACCAUUAAAAUCUGCUUUAAAUCAUGCUAAUACAUUUUCUUGCACUAUCUACUUUGUUUACAUUUACCCCAUCCAUAUAAGACAGUAAGGUUAUGGAAUCCCAAGUUUUCUACAGUAAAUUCUUCCAUGGAUGCUAGAGCAGCAUAAAGAUAUUACCUCUUUAACGAUAUCAGGUGGGUUCUUAAGCAGGUUGAAGGCAGUUGAGAGGGAAGAAGAGAACCUCUCGAAGGAGAGACUAACCCUCCCCCUAUAUCAUUAUUGUCUAUAUCAUCCUGAAAAAACUAUUUGGAACUUAUAUUUAUCCUUACCGUUUCAAUUAAGUUGUUCAUCAAAAUCAUGACAAACUCUUGCUUCCUGGUUUUAUCUCACUCCCAAGUUGGGGGGAGCCUUUUUGCUUUGAUGCUAGACUGACAUGUUGCACCAAUCUUCUUGCACCACCAUAAUUACUUCAAAUGAACUAAGUUCACAAGAAGGAUGAUGAAAAAAAAAUUCAUUCUAUAUAUUUUAACACCAAGGGUAGUACUAAGUCCAUCUCUUUUAUUAUAUUGACCAUGGAAGAAGCAAUUUAUAGUAUCAGGAUGGUGCACCACAGUGCAUGCUAUUUGCAAACAACGUCAUUUUUUAUUAAUGAGAAGAGGAUUAGGUCAAUGCUGGAUCAGAUUUAUGAAGAAAAGAUUUAUAAGAUAAAGUUUAAAAUCAGGGUACAUAGAAUGCAGUUUAAUAAAAACAGAGAUGAAAAUGGGUUCCCAACCAAGAUUGGUGGACGAGAAAUGUAGAGAGAUCAGCUUUGUCAUCUAUGAUCUAUUUACCCAAGAAUAGAGAGAGAGAGAGAGAGAGAGAGAGAGAGAGAGAGGUANNNNNNNNNNNNNNNNNNNNGAGAGAGAGAGAGAGGUGUACAAAGAUCAGAGCUAGAUGAUUUAAGAGGUUCUUUUCAGGUGUCACUGGAAUGACAUACACCUUGGCAUUUGAAGGGAAAAUACUGCAAAAUGACAAUACAACCUGCAAGAGAUAGACAAGGUCCAAGAAACAAGAUAAAUUAAGUGGAAUGAGAAUGCUUGGUAAGACAAUGAAUCAUAAAGCAAAAAUUGAUUGUACAGGAGGAAUUGCAAAAAUUAUACUAAUUAAGGAUGAAGUAGUGAAAAAUUGAUUGAAAUGGCAUAGGCUUUUAAAUAAAGAUUCAAGAAGGAUCCAAUGAAGAGAGCUACUUGAAUAUUUGUAAAAGAAUUUUGGACAAGAAAGGAGGAUGCACAGUAAAUGGAUAGAAGUUAUGAGAAUGAUUUAGAAAGCUCUAGAUAAAGCCUCCUCCAUAGGAAUAAUUGAUGAAUGAGAAUUCAUGGAGAGAAUCCCAACAAAGAGGAUAAGGAUCGAUACUUUUGGUUAUAGAAAUUCUGUCAGUGCCAUGAGAUUCAUCAAGAUAGAUAAGGUAGAUGAGGAGGGAGAAGGGGAAAAAAAAGUACGCAAUAUAUAAUUACUUAUUUGAAUUAAAUCACAAAAUAUUAGUUUCUUAAUACUUUCAAAUUAGGGCAAUGGUGUUAUCAUGCAUUGUGUGUCUCAGUUUGACUCUGCGGACACAUUUUGUGCCCUAUUUAAGAACAGAGUUGCUUUCAUGAAACAUUAUCAUUAGUUCAUCACCCCUCUUUGUCGUGAGUGAAUGUUUCUAACAAAUUUUGGAGGACUACGAUGUCGUUACAUGAGCCUAAACUGCAUUGCAUGAGAUGGCUCCCUUUAUGACCAUGUUGCUUUCAAGAUUACACGUCAUGCCCUUUAUUGCCUUAACAUUGCAUCAAUCAGGAUCUCAACAAUGAUUAAAAGGUACAUAUUAAGGAAAUAAUGUUGCAAGAAUAAAAAUUGGAUCUACAUGAGAAAAUUAAUACCUUAUGGGAAGAGAUGGCUAAUUAAGAAAGUGGCUAUAGAAGUAUUAGGAAAAUCAAAAGGAAAAGGACAAUCUGAUAAGAAAAUUUGGUGGUGGAAUGAGAAAGUACAAUUGAUGGUUGUGGCCAAAAGAUAGUACUAUAGAAGACUACUUAAAUGUAGGGAUUAAGAAGCGUAUGAAAGCUAUAGGCUACCUAAGAAGUAAAAAGACGAUACGAAAGACUAGAUUCAAAACAUAUGAAGAGUUAUAUUGCAAGUUAGAAACUAAGGAUAGGGAGAAGAAUAUUUAUAAGACUGCAAGACUAAGAGAGGAAAAUUAGAGAUUUGACUUCGAAUAAAUGCUUCAAAAAUGAAAAUCAAAAGUUUUGGUUAAGGAGAUCAAAGAAAGAGGGAAAAGUUAUUUAAUAAACUAUUUAAUGAAAGUCAUGUAAACGACCUUGGGUGCCUUAUUACCAUUGAGGAUAGAAAUGUUAGUACAUAUGUAGAAUUAGAAAUAAAGAAUGCUAUGAAAAAGACGAAAAUAGGAAAAAUUGGUGAGACCUGAUGGAAUCUCUAUUGAGGUUUAGAAGUAUUUAGAUGAUGUAGGAGUAAUUUGGUGGACUACUUUGUUUAAUAAGAUUUUAAAAACAAAGAAGAUGCCUGAUGAAUGGAGGAAGAGCAUUAGAGUACCGAUUUAUAUGAAUAAAACUGAUAUUCAAAAUCAUUCUAGUUAUCAUGGUAUCAAACUCAUCAGUGUUGAAAAGGAUGAUGGAGCACAGAUUAAAAUGUGACAUAAACAUAUUAGAGAACCAAGUUGCAUUUAUGCCAAGACGGUCAACUAUGGAAACUAUUUUUCUCCUAAGGUUAAUAAAGAAAUAUAUAGGAAAGAGACAAGAUCUUUAUAUGGUUUUUAUUAAUUUAGAGAAAUUAGAGUUCUUGGAGAAGUUUUAUGGUGGGUGUUAGAAAGGAAAAAACUUUCCAUUAGGUAUAUUAAUAUGAUUAAGGAUAUAUACAAUGGAGUGGUUACUAGUGUAAGAACUAUUGAUAAUAAUACUAGUGAAUUCCCAAUUACAAUAGAUUUUCACCAAGUGUCUAAAAUAGAUCCUUAUCUUUUAGUGCUAGUUAUGGAUGAGCUUACUAGGCACGUUCAGAAAGAUAUUUAUGGUGCAUACGAUUUGUGAAUGUUAUAGUCUUGGUUGAUGAAACUAAGAUUAGAAUAAACUACAUGUUGGAAUUAUGAAGGAGCAUAUUAGAAUCUAAUAAUUUUAAAUUAAAUAGGACCAAGACAUAAUACAUGAAACAUUAGUUUUAGUAACAAUAAGAUAUAUAGAUGAAGGUGGAGUGAAAAUUGAGGAUCACAGAUCUAAUAGUGAUCAUUCGAUGUAUCUAGGAUUGAUUAUUCAUAAAGAAAGAAAAAUUGAAGAGAAUGCGAUCCAUAGGAUUUAAGCAAGUUGGAUAAAAUGGAGAAGUGGAAUUGGAAUAUUUUAUGAUCGUAGAACACCUGCCAAGUUGUUUAAAAAAUUUUUAUAAGACAGUCAUAUGACCAACUAUACUUUACGAUAUAAAAUGUUGGAUAGUUAGAAAACAACAUGUGCAUAAGAUGAGCAUCGUUUUAAUAAGACCAUCGAGAUGGAUGUGUGGUAAUACAAGAAAAAAUAGAAUAAGAAAUAAAGCGUUCCUAAAAACAGAGGUAGCAUCGUGUCAAUUAAGGAUAAAGUGAGAGAAAGAUGACUUAAAUGGUUUAGACAUGUACAACAUAAGCUGAGAGAUCCACCAAAUGGAGUAAGUUGCUAUAUAUAGAUUGAAAGAGGGAUUGAGGUGGAUCAGAAAUCAUAUAAGAUGAAGUAGUAAGGAAGGACUUGAUAGGGCUACAUCAUUCAAAAAGUGUGACCCUAAACAGAGCUGAAUGGAAGAAAAGGAUUCACAUAGCCGAUCCUAACUAGUUUGGGAUUGGGGCUUAGCAGAGUUAAAUAUUAUGUUUGACAAUUGGUUGGAAUUAAAUCAAUCUGUUUAAAAAAACUUUUCAAUUGAGAGUUUCUGCUCCAUAAUCAACCAUAUAUUAAUGAGAAAAUAAUACUUGGAUGAUGAAGAUAUAACAACAACAACAAUAACUACUACUACUACUACUAAACCAUACUAUAGAAGCACAAACCCUCUUUUUCAAUACCCAUACAUAAUUUGCUUAUAUUGCUUUAUGUUAGAUGCUUAUAUAGUGAAAUUAAUACUCACAGGCCCAUCUAAAUGACAUGUCAGUGUGACCCAACCUACACGUGUCAAACGUUAUUAGCCAAAUAUAGUUACUCCCCUCCACGAGUUCUCCAAAUAAAGCCACUUUGGUUAUUUUUGAUAGCUAAUACAUGUCUUCCUUCUAUCUGAAGGAAUCGCUUCCCGACAAAGGGGUUAAAAAACAUUAAAUGCACCCCAUCCCCCUCUUUUCCCAAGCUAUCCAUUUAAAGGGCAAAGAGAAGGUUACUCUCAUUCCCAUCAAGUUUGCUUCCAGGUCUCUUGGUAUAGCCUAUAGACCUUGCACCUCUCAUUGCCAGGGUCAGGUACGAUAUCCAUCUCCAUAUCCACAUAUAUUUCUUUUCCUUAUGAGAAUCGCCGUUCUUUUUGUUGUAUUACUUGAUAUCUAUCUCCAUAUAUAGCUACAUUUCUUUUCCUUAUUUGAGUAUCACCAUUCUCUUUGUUAUAUCAUGAUCGUUAAAUCAAAUUAGUUUUAGAUUUCCAUGUCAUUAUGGAUUGUGUUAAUUUUUUUGAAACUAUUUAUGCCUAUCUAAUAACUAUUGCCUUUUUAUUACCUUAUUUCUUUUGAAUGAAAAAUAAUAAUAAUAAUAUCAUGGAUUAACAAGCUGAUCACUUCCAAUCUAUGAUGGCAUCUUAGAUUGUACCGAUGAUCGACCAAGUCAGGGAAGAGAUCUAGGAUCCCCAUCCUUUUUAAACUAAUAGGCCUCAACUAGUAUUGCUAGGUACAGGUACCAAGCAAGACAAGGACUAGAACAUAUUCUCAUGAUGAGACCAUGCCAAAAGGCCCCCAAAUGCCCUCUUUUGUUGCAUUCAAAAGUGGAGAGGGAAAGGGAAAAACAUAGGAAGAAGAGGAUGAGAGCAAAGGUCCAGUUGGGAGAGCUUAGAUCCAACCUCAUUCAAGCCCUAAAUAAACAUAAAAAAUGCUAAAUAAAUAUAUAAAAAAAUCUUAACUAAAAAAUAAGAGACUCAAAAAGUAAAAAAAGUAUGAAAACAAAUAACAAAAAAAAAAAAAGGCUCUAGUAUUUAUUGGGACACCAACAUAUUCCAAGUAUUGGUGCAAGGGCAUCUUGAUACCAUAUUGACUUGCAACCCGACCGAUACUGGCACCAAGAUUAGGACUUUAAACUUGGUAUUUUGAAAUUCUACAACAUUGGCCUAGAUUAACUUCCACAUGUUUUAGAUAAGAAAUAUUGUGAUUUGCAUCAGGUGAAUAUACUACAGAUAUCAAGGUUUUAGUUACCAAUGCAACAAGUCUCUAUUGGGAGUAGCAUUCUGUUAAGGAAUUGGUACGUGGCAUAGGCGCAGGAUACUGGCAUUUUUAUGAGACAAGAUGUCCCAUCUGUCCUGAUCAAAAUUGGUUGGGGCUGGCCGAUACUAGCGCCAAUUCGGCUAGUACCAAGGUGAAACCCCACUAGGUCACCAAGUUUUCAAGAAAAGAGAAAGAAAGAAGUGGGCAUGAGGGUCAUGCUCGCUUAUCUUGUUGGUUUAGUCAUGGAGGUGGGCAUGUGCAAUAGAAAUAGAGGGAGGGAGAGAGAAAGAGAGAGCUGGGAAGGGAGAUAAGGGGAGGAGAAAGUAGAAAAAAUAGAGCAACUCUCUGCCUUCAAAAUGUUCUAGCUUCCUUGAUGCCAAAAAUUUUAUCUAAGGAUAUUAAAACAUAUCAAUACUCAUUACAAUUUCAUUAAAAAUUAAAAAAAUUGAAAAUUAACAAUUAUGUUCCGAUAUGGUAUCAAUAUGCAGUCUUAAGAGUUGUGUACCACAACAUUCCAAGACAAAACAAACAUUGGGCUUGGUAUUGCUAUUUAAACCCUUGGUGGAUACCAAAGUGAUAAUUACAACUUAUAUUGGGUUACAAUAUCCAUUCUAGAUUACAUGAUUCCAUGAAGCUUCAGACUUGUUGAUGAUCAUGUAAUCAAUUUGUAAUCUUUUCAAAUGUUCAACUUUACGAGUCUCAAAAUUAAUUACAAAUAAUUGCUAUAAUUAUAAUGUCUAAUUCUUCUUUAUUAUCUUGUAACCCACCAUUUUAACCAAAAAUGUUCUUUGUCAUGCAUAAGUAGCACAUGCUAGACUUCUACCUUUCCCAAUUUUGAUUUGGUAAAUACUUUUCUUUUCAUAUUGUUAAAUCAAAUGGUUAUUAUAAUUUUUUCUCUUCAUUUAUGGUAUAACCCUACAAUCAACUAAUUAACAUUUUGAACUGCAAUAAUCACAUGAUACUAUAAAUAUCAUUGCAUGUGUCAUAUACAAGACCAGGGCACCAAAAUGGACCUGAAAGGGAAAGGUCUCUUUUAUGGAGAUGACAAAUUCCCUACUGAGUAUGACGAUGGGACUGUCAAUUGUGCAUUGAGGUUGGGAUCUACUCCCACCUUGAAAUUGCAAUCAGCAGGGGAAGCAACACUUCGCCAACCACAGGUAAUUAAUAUUUUUUAUCCUUUGUUGUAUAUGGAUAUUUUUAAGUCAUCAAUUAAAUGCAUGUUCUUACAUUCUGAUUUCUUUUUGAUAUAGUCAAGAAAUUAAUACAUGCCUAAAAAGGUAGAAUUAUUGGUAUGAUAGUAAUCAGUGGGAGCAAUAAAAGGAGAAAGAGAAAGGGCAAUGACUUAAAUGCUACAGAAUGGAUUUUAUGGACAGACCAUCAUGCGCAACCUUUUGGUUUUUGGCUUAAUUAGUGCAAUUACAUGAUAAGUAUGAACAUGUUGCUAUGUUUCGUAUAACAUGACAGGUCCUGCAUCGGGCAACAAAAUAUCCAGAAGAGUCUUCUGACAUAGAUUGUACACUGAGGUUGGGCUAUAAAGUUGAGACACCACUGCAGCCAUCAAAAACUGAACAACAUCGAGAGCCCAGAAUGAAGGGACCACCAGCCACUUACCAGGUCCCCAGGGUAAUGUAAUUUUUUUUUCUUGGCUUCAUGUGAAACAAUUUAUUGGUCAUUCCAUCUAUCUAUGGGUCUUUCUAAGGGGCGGUAGAGAUUCCCAACUAUUCGAACCAUAUAAUAUCUUCAAAAUCAGAGGUAAUUGCGAAAGAAGAGAAGACAUGAGAAGCCAUCAGCUACAUCCCCAAUCUCUCCUAUUUCCUUCCCUAGCCUCCUCUCUUUAGUCAAUUCCCACCACUAUAUGAGAUAACACACAGAUUCAGCAGGUGGGAAUUCAUACGGUCCCUUAAGAAUCAGCAUAUAGACUCAAGAAUAUGACAUAUUGCUUAUUACUUUUUUAGUGAAAUAACAGAAAAAGGGACGGUUAGAAAAGGAAUGACCUUAAUUGAUCAUAAGAAGUAAGUCUUUUAAUAAAAAACAUAAAAAUAACGAUUCGUAUGAUCUAAGUAUAACAAUAAUGACUACCUGUUCUCUUGAGAAAGAAAGUAGCUAUUAUCAAAUCUCCGAGUUGCCAUGGAUAAUCUUUUUUUAUAGUUUUGCCAUAUAGGUUUAGUAAAAUAUGCAUUAGUUUUUAAGAAACAAUUUUUUUGUUUUUUAUAUGUCUUAUUAAUUAAAGUUCUAUUUAAAGGUGCUUUGUUCUUUUAUGUCAGAUAUUAUGCAAUGAUUGUCGGAUUCUCUUAAGAAAGGAGCUGGAGAAACGUGCUGAGGCUUACAAUCUCCUUGCCCAGAGGAAGAAUAAUGAAGAGGCUGGAAAUAGGUCCAUGACUUAGUUUCUUCUGCAGUAUAUUUGGGAUGAAAACAAUUUGAAAUAAAUAAAGACCUGUAUGGAUGUAAUAAGUAUGCUUACUUUAAAAAAAUCUAGUUUUGUUUUCGAUCUAUUGUUAAGAUGCAUAUCACUAAAUUGAUCUGAUGGACCAAACCAAGUUAAUAGCACAUCUUAGUACUUAUCAUGCAAAUCACUCAUCUAGUGAACUAGCUCCUCCAAUCAAAACACUCCCAUUAAUUGGUUGGGGAGGGGGUAGAGAGUAUACAACAAGUGGCCCAUUGUUGACCUUUGAUAUCAAUAUCAUAUCAACAAGUGAUAGGAGGAUAUAGUUUAAUGUUUGCAGUCAUUUCUUGUUGAUAAAGGAUUAGUGUUCCCCAAAAUUUUAGAUGCAUAAAACUCAAUUGCAGCCUUUAGAUAUCGUGACCUGCUAAAACAUGUAUAACAAUGUCAUUCUUCGAGCAGCUGUUGACAUAUACAUACAGAUUUCUUGCUUUAAAAUAGCUUAGUUUGAUGAAUGACAUUACUUAGACUGUAUAUGUACAACAGAACAAUAUAGAAUUUGAUCAAAAGAAUAAUGCAUUGACUUUUUGUGAGCUGAAUAUGUUGUAUGUAAGCAUAUAAUUUUGGCUAAUAUAAGAGAGCCUAGAGUCAUAUUCUUGGUCUUUCACAUGUGAGACAACAACAUGUGUAUAUAAACUAAGAAAUUAUAGGGUACUUCCUAAUCCUCGAGAACUAUAAAACCACUUCAAGGUUCCAAAAUAUUAUGCUACAUCCUGAAUAAACAUUUUGGUUCUAGUAAAAAUACAAAAGUUUCAUUAUCUUGAACUCCUUAUAAUGCAUAUGAGAAAGAUGUACUUCUCCACUUUCUGCAACAUGAUAACAAUCAGUAUAAAUUGCAAAUCUUAUGCACCAGUUCAAAUAUAAAAUCCUAGACAGAAUUAAGAUUUUAAAAAAUAAUUAAUUUUACAACAUAUCAUUGGCAAGUGAUAUAUAUGGAUUUGCUGCUCACCUAGUUCAUCUUUAACUUUCAAGUAGAGCUGGCAAAGAUACUACCUUCAGCUCCAAUCUUAGUGUGUGCACAAGGUAUCACAAAUUGCAUCCUCCUGUAACAUAAGUCAUUAUACAUGCUAGUUAAAGGAAGAAAAAUUCUUUAACAAAGAAAGAAAAAAAUCCCACCAAAUCUAUGCACUUAAGUUGAAUAAAAAAAAAUAUAGGAAAAGAAAUGCCAUCAGAAGAAUAGAGACAUCAAUAAAUGCAAAAAUAAAAAGAACUCAAAUACAGGUCAGCCUUACAAUUCCAUUGUUAUAGAGGAGGAAACAAAAAGUUCAGUUGAUUGGACAAGAUACAGACCCAAUAAAUCAAAGACAACCCAGGAAUACAACAAUACUUCAUCUUUUUUGACACAAAUGAAAAGAACUUAUUGAUGAAAAAAAACAAUUGACAACUCAAUCCCUGUAGAGCUCUCUCUCUCUCUCUCUCUCUCUGUGUGUGUGUAUGUGUGUGUGUGUAACUCAGAUUUGUCCUGGUCAUAUUUGAAGUUGGCAAAUUAAUCCCGACCAAUCUUAUAGUGGCAUUUACAUAGUUUAAGUGAAUGACAAUCAUGACCUUAUCUCCAGUAACUCUCUCACUUCUUUUCUCCAUAAUGCUACCACCCAAUUAGCUGCUUGUGUCAGCUAACCAGAUACCCUGAUUGCCCACAAUCCAGCAGAGUGGGUACCAUUAAAACAAGGACGGGAGAAUAUCUACUUAGCUUGCAUAAGUGUCCCAGUGUGUGUAGGUUGGGUCGAGUUUUGCCAUAGGAGGGGAAUAGAAAGUAAGACGAUAAGGACAUUGAUGAUAGUAUCAUGGUCAUUAGAUUUGCCAUAUGGAUCACUCGGCUAUGAAUUGGCAAUAGUGUCUCUCUGCAAGUUUCAAACAUCCAAGAUCUCUUGCUUGAUCACUAAAAAAUGAUCUGACGUGACUAUAUUAUCAUCCUGACCAGCUAAAUGGUGGCCAAACACGAAACCAGUAUAAGGGACGGCCAGGACUGGUGUUUUGUUACAUCCAAAUUAUAAAACAAAAACAGACAUAUAAAUACCACUACGAAAAUUAAACUAUAGCAGCAACUUCGUGAAAGAAGACUCGAUCUCCAAUCAGCAGAACUAAAUCCAACGAAGCUUCCAAAUUCCUUUUAGCUGAAACCAUCUCGUCCAUGGUUCUCUCAUCCGUGAGCGCAUAAUGAAACAAGAGAACAAAAGUGAUCAAAUAGACAUGCCAAAAAAAUAAACACCAAGAAUUAGGGUUCACUAGGUGGGGGAAAAAGAAAAAAAAAAGAAAUUCUAACUUUAUCUAGCUUGAGAUCACAGUUUCCAUCUUGCUGCCAAGAAACAUAUCUAAUCCAACUUAAACAUCGAGUCGGAAAUUUCAAAAGACAAUUCAUAUACCCUAAGCAAGAACCAGCAUCAGCACCCACAAACAAGAAAUCGAAAUCCUAUAGCAUUUCCAAGAAAAACGGAUCAAAGAAUUCGGAGCAAACGCUAACAACGAGAAGGGGAAACGGAAAGAGACAUACUGAUCGAUCGUAGAAGGGCACCCGAGAGAAGAACGAGCAAGAACUGAUCGGUGAACCCAAAGAAACGAAACCCUAGAAACAACCGAAUUUUUCCCCGAAAAUCUUCCAACGCCCGCGUCCUUGUUCCUCGGAUCACAAAGUUGGGAGACCAAGAAUUUGCGGAAAACAUUUGCCGAAACAAAGACGCCACGGCCGUUAUUUCGGCGUUUGUCCCUCAAGUGGUAGAGUCGGCAGUUAAGCCCGGUGGAACAUAUUUCUAACAAAGUCCCUAGGUUCAUCUUAACUUUUAAUAAGCCUCAAAAUCACCAGCUUCGUAUGAAACAUUUCCUUGAAAGCUUAUAUGUAGGUUCUUAAUUGAGCUCAAAUUUAUAAUUAAGAGUUUUUUCAC